UGGAUCAUUUUGUUCUCUAUUUAAGGGUUAGAAGAAGCAUCACUCUUGUGAAAGAACAGACCUAGGUUCUCAAGUUUCUGCUAUCAGUGGCUACCUUUGAUUGACUACACAAUUUAAUACAAGCGCUUGAUUAGACCAUUGAUUGCCAGAUACACUUGGUAGAGUCUAUCCUCAGACUCUGGCCAUCGAUCUCUUGUAUACUAUGCUCAGGGGUGUCCACAAGUGGCUGGGCCUGGGAUGUAUUGUCAAGCCUAUAGUCCAAUCCUUGGUAUCUGGAUCAAGAUAUGACAUUACGGCACUGGCACUGGUGUUGGUUGUGUUAGUCUCCUUCACCGGCCUUCAAGGAAGUGCGGCCUGGGAUCGUGGCUAGUUUUGUGUGGACCAUCACUGAGCAAAAUGGAACCUUCCCCUCCAACCCCCGUCGUACUCCUCCUAGCUGAUGGGUGUGAACUCAUUGAAAGAUGAUGCCCCAGUGCCAUCCAACGCAGUAUUUAUUAAGUCUUUCUGGAAGCUCUCGUUUGAGAUCUUCGC
Molecule: long non-coding RNA, 531 nt
Organism: Halichondria panicea
Lineage: Eukaryota; Metazoa; Porifera; Demospongiae; Suberitida; Halichondriidae
Exons: 3
Source: RefSeq, a predicted model, not a curated record